Molecule: ribosomal RNA, 740 nt
Filed under: uncultured bacterium
Lineage: Bacteria
Description: bacterial SSU rRNA
Rfam family: Bacterial small subunit ribosomal RNA
Source: RNAcentral
AGAGUUUGAUCAUGGCUCAGAACGAACGCUGGCGGCAGUAACACAUGCAAGUCGAACGCUCGUAGCAAUACGGGAGGGCAGACGGGUGAGUAACGCGUGGGAACAUACCCUCCGGUUCGGAAUAGCUCAGGGAAACUUGGAUUAAUACCGGAUACGGCUGAGAGGCGAAAGAUUUAUCGCCGGAGGAUUGGCCCGCGUUCGAUUAGCUUGUUGGUGAGGUAACGGCUCACCAAGGCGAUGAUCGAUAGCUGGUCUGAGAGGAUGAUCAGCCACAUUGGGACUGAGACACGGCCCAAACUCCUACGGGAGGCAGCAGUGGGGAAUAUUGGACAAUGGGCGCAAGCCUGAUCCAGCCAUGCCGCGUGAGUGAUGACGGCCUUAGGGUUGUAAAGCUCUUUCGCUCGGGACGAUAAUGACGGUACCGAGAUAAGAAGCCCCGGCUAACUUCGUGCCAGCAGCCGCGGUAAUACGAAGGGGGCUAGCGUUGUUCGGAAUUACUGGGCGUAAAGCGCGUGUAGGCGGGUCUUUAAGUCAGGGGUGAAAUGCCAAGGCUCAACCUUGGAACUGCCUUUGAUACUGGAGAUCUUGAGUCCGAGAGAGGUGAGUGGAAUUGCGAGUGUAGAGGUGAAAUUCGUAGAUAUUCGCAAGAACACCAGUGGCGAAGGCGGCUCACUGGCUCGGAACUGACGCUGAGACGCGAAAGCGUGGGGAGCAAACAGGAUUAGAUACCCUAGUAGUCC